AAAUCCUCUUCUUCUAAGGAAAUAAUGUUGUGUUCUGAAGUAAUAAUACAAUUUUCUGCUGUUCCCAACUUUCUGUAAAGAAGCAAUCUGUAGGUAAACCAGAUAUUCUCAUUCUCAUUGGAAAAUUUAAUUCUGUCUCUUAGUGUCUCUCUUUUUAUAAUCUACCAUACCAGGUAUUUGAUGUCUUAGGGAAGAUAAGGGGGAGGUCUGGGGAAGGAAAUUGAAAAUACUUAUUUGAAGUUUCCACAUCUGACUUUUAGAAAACAUCUAUGGCAAUGGAAUAACUUUAUAUUCAUUCUGAGUUUCUUAACAUGUUUCACUUGGGCUGUGGAAAUGGAUAAAAGAGAUGGAAUAUCUGUCCACGCUAAACCAAUGGCUAGAGUACAACUUGGAUGAGAAAUGUACAGUUGAAAUUGACCAUUUAAAAGACGAUUUGUCACACACAGUUUGCAUCCAUGCAGACUGAUAGACUUUAAUUACAUUAUGUACAAAAUGUUUCAGUUUAUUAAGGCAACCACAACUUGGAUACUUUGUCCAAGGUGAUGUGAUAGGAUUGGAGUGGUGACACCCUUUGAGCAUUUCCUUUCUUUUUUCCCAGAUAAGAACACUUAACCCCAUCUGCUUUCAUGAAAAGAGAUAAUGGACUUCAAUUGUCUUUUUGCUCCCUUUUUUUUUUCAAUGACCGUUGACAGUUAUCUGUUUGGAAAAAAAAAAAAAAUCACACACCAAGGCAUUGCUAGACACUUGUCUUUCUGGUGGGUCCGGGGUUUCAAUUUUUGGUGAUUUUUCAGUUAUUCCAUUUUCUAUGGGGCAUUAAAACCAUUUUAAUCUGUCUAUACUUCGCUGACAUGUUUUACUAUAAAAAUAACCUGAUUGAUACCUGGGUCAACAUAUCUUCAGUUGCUCUAACUUACUUAUUUUUAAAAGGCUCUAUCAAUACUAAGUAUUUGUUUCACAAUGACUGGGAUUCAAAGCCAAGUUCCUUGGAACAGCAUGCCAAGGAUGAACAUGACGACACAGUAACUGCAAUGGAAUCAAGGGUGCACCUUGGCUGCAGGAAGUCUGGCGGCUUUCAGGGAGCACCACCAACUUUUUCCUCCGGGAUGGGUCUCUUGCUGCCUGUCAAGGAACUAGCCAUACUGAAGUGCUGCUUGGUGGGAACUGCUGUGAAACACACACGCACGCGCGCAAACACACACGCACGCACACACCCAUUCUUUUGAAAACGUCCCCUUGCUUUGCUUUGCCAAGAACUCCUGAAGGCUCAACCCCGUCCU
This 1277-nucleotide long non-coding RNA is filed under the name Capra hircus (goat). RNAcentral describes it as "lncRNA (ENSCHIG00010015244.1)". The record is from RNAcentral. Lineage: Eukaryota; Metazoa; Chordata; Mammalia; Artiodactyla; Bovidae.